UGGGGAAUUUUGGACAAUGGGCGAAAGCCUGAUCCAGCAAUGCCGCGUGUGUGAAGAAGGCCUUCGGGUUGUAAAGCACUUUUGUCCGGAAAGAAAUCCUUGGCUCUAAUACAGUCGGGGGAUGACGGUACCGGAAGAAUAAGCACCGGCUAACUACGUGCCAGCAGCCGCGGUAAUACGUAGGGUGCAAGCGUUAAUCGGAAUUACUGGGCGUAAAGCGUGCGCAGGCGGUUUGCUAAGACCGAUGUGAAAUCCCCGGGCUCAACCUGGGAACUGCAUUGGUGACUGGCAGGCUAGAGUAUGGCAGAGGGGGGUAGAAUUCCACGUGUAGCAGUGAAAUGCGUAGAGAUGUGGAGGAAUACCGAUGGCGAAGGCAGCCCCCUGGGCCAAUACUGACGCUCAUGCACGAAAGCGUGGGGAGCAAACAGGAUUAGAUACCCUGGUAGUUCACGCCCUAAACGAUGCCAACUAGUUGUUGGGGAUUCAUUUCCUUAGUAACGUAGCUAACGCGUGAAGUUGACCGCCUGGGGAGUACGGUCGCAAGAUUAAAACUUAAAUGAA
RNAcentral lists this ribosomal RNA (561 nucleotides) under uncultured bacterium. Its description in RNAcentral is "partial 16S ribosomal RNA". It matches the Rfam family "Bacterial small subunit ribosomal RNA", at positions 355 to 909 of the family's 1533-position model. The record is from RNAcentral.